Non-coding RNA from Paramuricea clavata, 272 nucleotides. The record is from the annotation of a GenBank genome assembly. Lineage: Eukaryota; Metazoa; Cnidaria; Anthozoa; Malacalcyonacea; Plexauridae.
CUCUAAUCUAACCGAAAGAUAUUGUUUAAAGGCAAUCUUAGGAAAAAUUGUAAAGAAAAAAAUAUGAGAACGAAAAACAAAACAUUGGCCAUUGCGGGAAUCGAACCACCAAUUAGCAGCAUGUUAGAUCGCACGCAACGCCCUAGACAAACACGCCACCGGCACACGCUGAAAUACAAGUGCAGACAAGGACGUCGCGAAGCCACCAACAUUGGGGGGGGGGGUGUCAUCAUGGUUUCACCAACAUUUCCUAGGAUUUUGACCAAGUCGUG